RNAcentral lists this long non-coding RNA (856 nucleotides) under Brassica napus (rape). RNAcentral's name for it is "long non-coding RNA (BNAP_LNC004416)". Lineage: Eukaryota; Viridiplantae; Streptophyta; Magnoliopsida; Brassicales; Brassicaceae. The record is from RNAcentral.
CUGAUUCCGCCAUCGCCUCCUCCUCCUCAAUUCCAGCCGCGACGUCAGAGAAAUGCAAGAGGUCGUCUGUCAUGUGUUGGAUCACUUGAGAGAGGAAGGUCCACAUACUACGAAGAGAAGGUUCGAGACCGUUAAAGUUUUGCGUCUUUUAGGUAUGGAACUUUCUCUCAAUCGAUUUCUAUCUCUUGAUUUCAGAUUUGAAAAUAGGAUGUAACAUCUUUUAGUUUUGUUUCUUAAUUUCUUUUGUCAUAUACUAAAUUACUUUGGAUAUAUAUAUGCAUGCUUACUCCUUCUGUUCGAUCCCCAGCUUACGACGACCUCGAGUUUUUUUAUUCCAGUGCGUUAGUUGACGAUUAACAUAUUGUGUUGCAGCGAAUUUGAUGAUAACAAGAAUUUGUUGCACGAGAUCACUAGACUUUCACCUAAGGCGAAGAUAAGCUCUUUAUUAGUUCUCUUGACAUAUUGCAUUACGAGAAACAACAAAAAAAUGUAUGGCCUAAAUCACCAGGCAUCUCCUUCUGCUAUAUGAACCUAAUUUACUUAGAAUUCUGCUGAUAAUUAGUAAGAAGUAUACUUGAUAGAGUAAUAUCAAUAUUCAAUGUUUUGUAUGUUUGUGUUUUGUCUAGGAUUAGUCUCUUCAGUUUGUUCAAAGUGCUUCUCUUCAGAUUGAUCAUAUAAUUUGGAAGCUUAAUUAAAUCUAUUAUAUUGGCUCUGUGUUUGAUUAUCUUUUCUCUAGGCACUUCUCUCCCGAGAUGUUCAGUCCAACAUUGCUCCAGCAAGUAGUGAACGUUACGGCAUAACAAGUCAACAAUACGAGGUACUGAAGCUGCAACGUGCUCUCAAGCAAGACCCCAUG